RNAcentral lists this ribosomal RNA (458 nucleotides) under uncultured bacterium. Its description in RNAcentral is "bacterial SSU rRNA". It matches the Rfam family "Bacterial small subunit ribosomal RNA", at positions 335 to 788 of the family's 1533-position model. The record is from RNAcentral.
ACUCCUACGGGAGGCAGCAGUGGGGAAUAUUGCACAAUGGGGGAAACCCUGAUGCAGCCAUGCCGCGUGUGUGAAGAAGGCCUUGGGUUGUAAAGCACUUUCAGUAGGGAGGAAGGUAGUGUAGUUAACACCUGCAUUAUUUGACGUUACCUACAGAAGAAGCACCGGCUAACUCCGUGCCAGCAGCCGCGGUAAUACGGAGGGUGCGAGCGUUAAUCGGAAUUACUGGGCGUAAAGCGCAUGCAGGCGGCCUGUUAAGUCAGAUGUGAAAGCCCGGGGCUUAACCUCGGAAUUGCAUUUGAAACUGGCAGGCUAGAGUCUUGUAGAGGGGUUAGAAUUUCAGGUGUAGCGGUGAAAUGCGUAGAGAUCUGAAGGAAUACCAGUGGCGAAGGCGGCCCCUGGACAAAGACUGACGCUCAGAUGCGAAAGCGUGGGAGCAAACAGGAUUAGAUACCCCU